ACGGGAGGCAGCAGUGAGGAAUAUUGGUCAAUGGGCGGAAGCCUGAACCAGCCGAGUCGCGUGAAGGAUGAAGGUAUUAUGUAUUGUAGACUUCUUUAGACGUAGAGAAAUAAGGGUGUCGAGACACCUGAUGCUAGUAUACGUAGAAUAAGGAUCGGCUAACUCCGUGCCAGCAGCCGCGAUAAUACGGAGGAUCCGAGCGUUAUCUGGAUUUAUUGGGUUUAAAGGGUGCGCAGGCGGUCUUUUAAGUCAGUGGUUAAAUCGUGGAGCUUAACUCCAUCCCGCCAUUGAUACUGGAGGACUUGAUUGCGGUUGAGGUUGGCGGAAUUCGCCGUGUAGCGGUGAAAUGCAUAGAUAUGGCGAAGAACUCCGAUUGCGUAGGCAGCUGACCAAGCCGUAAAUGACGUUCAUGCACGAAAGUGCGGGGAUCGAACAGGAUUAGAUACCCUGGUA
This 453-nucleotide ribosomal RNA is filed under the name uncultured Porphyromonadaceae bacterium. Its description in RNAcentral is "partial 16S ribosomal RNA". It matches the Rfam family "Bacterial small subunit ribosomal RNA", at positions 341 to 792 of the family's 1533-position model. Lineage: Bacteria; Pseudomonadati; Bacteroidota; Bacteroidia; Bacteroidales; Porphyromonadaceae. The record is from RNAcentral.